RNAcentral lists this small nuclear RNA (302 nucleotides) under Colobus angolensis palliatus. Its description in RNAcentral is "7SK RNA (ENSCANG00000010756.1)". It matches the Rfam family "7SK RNA". From Rfam's summary of the family: 7SK was discovered as an abundant small nuclear RNA in the mid-70s but a possible function has only recently been suggested. Two independent studies have found that 7SK RNA binds the CDK9/cyclin T complex (known as elongation factor P-TEFb). P-TEFb activates transcription by phosphorylating the C-terminal domain of RNA polymerase II. The record is from RNAcentral. Lineage: Eukaryota; Metazoa; Chordata; Mammalia; Primates; Cercopithecidae.
GGAUGUGAGGGCGAUCUGGCUGCGACAUCUGGCACCCCAUUGAUCGCCAGGGUUGAUUCUGCUGAUCUGGCUGGCCAGGUGCGUGCCCGCUUCCUCCCUCACCGCUCCAUGUGCGUCCCUCCCGAAGCUGCCCUCUUGGUGGAAGACGACGACCAUCCGCCAUAGAGGAGGACCGGUCUUCGGUCAAGGGUAUACAAGUAGCUGUGCUCCCCUGCCAGAACCUCCAAACAAGCUCUCAAGAUCCAAAAUGCUGGAAUUACAGGUGUGAGCCACCGCGCCUGGCCAAAAUUAACUUUAUAUUU